Molecule: ribosomal RNA, 441 nt
Filed under: uncultured bacterium
Lineage: Bacteria
Description: partial 16S ribosomal RNA
Rfam family: Bacterial small subunit ribosomal RNA
Source: RNAcentral
CUACGGGGGGCUCCAGUGAGGAAUCUUGGACAAUGGGCGAAAGCCUGAUCCAGCGACGCCGCGUGGGUGACGAAGGCCUUCGGGUUGUAAAGCCCUGUCAGAGGGGAAGAAGUUCUGACGGUACCCUCAGAGGAAGCACAGGCUAACUCCGUGCCAGCAGCCGCGGGAAUACGGAGUGUGCAAGCGUUGCUCGGAAUCACUGGGCGUAAAGGGCGCGUAGGCGGCUUGGUAAGUUGGAUGUGAAAGCCCUCGGCUCAACCGAGGAACUGCAUCCAAAACUGCCUGGCUAGAGUACGGAAGAGGAAGGCGGAAUUCCCAGUGUAGGGGUGAAAUCCGUAGAUAUUGGGAAGAACACCAGUGGCGAAGGCGGCCUUCUGGGACGAUACUGACGCUGAGGCGCGAAAGCGUGGGGAGCAAACAGGAUUAGAUACCCGGGUAGUC